RNAcentral lists this ribosomal RNA (927 nucleotides) under Flavobacterium pectinovorum. RNAcentral's name for it is "bacterial SSU rRNA". It matches the Rfam family "Bacterial small subunit ribosomal RNA", at positions 57 to 988 of the family's 1533-position model. Lineage: Bacteria; Pseudomonadati; Bacteroidota; Flavobacteriia; Flavobacteriales; Flavobacteriaceae. The record is from RNAcentral.
GCAAGUCGAGGGGUAUAUUUCUUCGGAGUAUACGAGACCGGCGCACGGGUGCGUAACGCGUAUGCAAUCUACCUUUUACAGAGGGAUAGCCCAGAGAAAUUUGGAUUAAUACCUCAUAGUAUAUCACAAUCGCAUGAUUGAGUUAUUAAAGUCACAACGGUAAAAGAUGAGCAUGCGUCCCAUUAGCUAGUUGGUAAGGUAACGGCUUACCAAGGCUACGAUGGGUAGGGGUCCUGAGAGGGAGAUCCCCCACACUGGUACUGAGACACGGACCAGACUCCUACGGGAGGCAGCAGUGAGGAAUAUUGGACAAUGGGCGCAAGCCUGAUCCAGCCAUGCCGCGUGCAGGAUGACGGUCCUAUGGAUUGUAAACUGCUUUUAUACGAGAAGAAACACUCCUUCGUGAAGGAGCUUGACGGUAUCGUAAGAAUAAGGAUCGGCUAACUCCGUGCCAGCAGCCGCGGUAAUACGGAGGAUCCAAGCGUUAUCCGGAAUCAUUGGGUUUAAAGGGUCCGUAGGCGGUUUGGUAAGUCAGUGGUGAAAGCCCAUCGCUCAACGGUGGAACGGCCAUUGAUACUGCCAGACUUGAAUUAUUAGGAAGUAACUAGAAUAUGUAGUGUAGCGGUGAAAUGCUUAGAGAUUACAUGGAAUACCAAUUGCGAAGGCAGGUUACUACUAAUUGAUUGACGCUGAUGGACGAAAGCGUGGGUAGCGAACAGGAUUAGAUACCCUGGUAGUCCACGCCGUAAACGAUGGAUACUAGCUGUUGCGAGCAAUCUCAGUGGCUAAGCGAAAGUGAUAAGUAUCCCACCUGGGGAGUACGUUCGCAAGAAUGAAACUCAAAGGAAUUGACGGGAGCCCGCACAAGCGGUGGAGCAUGUGGUUUAAUUCGAUGAUACGCGAGGAACCUUACCAAGGCUUAAAUGU